GUGGGGAAUAUUGGACAAUGGGCGAAAGCCUGAUCCAGCCAUGCCGCGUGAGUGAUGAAGGCCUUAGGGUUGUAAAGCUCUUUUGUCCGGGAAGAUAAUGACUGUACCGGAAGAAUAAGCCCCGGCUAACUUCGUGCCAGCAGCCGCGGUACUACGAAGGGGGCUAGCGUUGCUCGGAAUCACUGGGCGUAAAGGGCGCGUAGGCGGACUUUUAAGUCGGAGGUGAAAGCCCAGGGCUCAACCCUGGAAUUGACUUCGAUACUGGGAGUGUUGAGUUCGGAAGAGGUUGGUGGAACGGCGAUUGUAGAGGGGAAAUUCGUAGAUAUUCGCAAGAACACCGGUGGCGAAGGCGGCCAACUGGUCCGAAACUGACGCUGAGGCGCGAAAGCGUGGGGAGCAAACAGGAUUAGAUACCCUGGUAGUCC
RNAcentral lists this ribosomal RNA (425 nucleotides) under uncultured bacterium. RNAcentral describes it as "partial 16S ribosomal RNA". It matches the Rfam family "Bacterial small subunit ribosomal RNA", at positions 354 to 796 of the family's 1533-position model. The record is from RNAcentral.